AAGAUCAUACUUCACAGGAUCAUUUCUGUAGUAUAUCUUCACAGACUCUCUACCCAAAGUAGGAGUCGAUGCAGCCACGAUGAUGAGAGACGGCUUCUCAUCCUGAGCGUGAGGUUGGCUGUCUGGAUCCUCCUUUGUGGAGAAUUCGGCAGCCCUCGAUGAUCGUUCACCUUCGGGUUUCAUACCUGAAGGGAUGGAUGGGCAGCUGUCUGAGUGGU
Molecule: small nucleolar RNA, 218 nt
Organism: Trichogramma pretiosum
Lineage: Eukaryota; Metazoa; Arthropoda; Insecta; Hymenoptera; Trichogrammatidae
Product: small nucleolar RNA U3
Exons: 1
Source: RefSeq, a predicted model, not a curated record